AUGUGACCUCAAAUCAGGUAGGACUACCCGCUGAACUUAAGCAUAUCAAUAAGCGGAGGAAAAGAAACUAACAAGGAUUCCCCUAGUAACUGCGAGUGAAGCGGGAAAAGCUCAAAUUUAAAAUCUGGCGGUCUUUGGCUGUCCGAGUUGUAAUCUAGAGAAGUGUUAUCCGCGUUGGACCGUGUACAAGUCUCCUGGAAUGGAGCGUCAUAGAGGGUGAGAAUCCCGUCUUUGACACGGACUGCCAGGGCUUUGUGAUGCGCUCUCAAAGAGUCGAGUUGUUUGGGAAUGCAGCUCAAAAUGGGUGGUAAAUUCCAUCUAAAGCUAAAUAUUGGCGAGAGACCGAUAGCGAACAAGUACCGUGAGGGAAAGAUGAAAAGAACUUUGGAAAGAGAGUUAAACAGUACGUGAAAUUGCUGAAAGGGAAACGCUUGAAGUCAGUCGCGUUGACCAGGGAUCAACCUUGCUUUUGCUUGGUGCACUUUCUGGUUAACGGGUCAGCAUCAAUUUUGACCAUUGGAAAAAGGUCAGGGGAAUGUGGCAUCUUCAGAUGUGUUUAUAGCCCUUGGUUGCAUACAAUGGUUGGGAUUGAGGAACUCAGCACGCCGAAAGGCCGGGUUUUUAAACCACGUACGUGCUUAGGAUGCUGGCAUAAUGGCUUUAAUCGACCCGUCUUGAAACACGGACCAAGGAGUCUAACAUGCCUGCGAGUGUUUGGGUGGAAAACCCGAGCGCGCAAUGAAAGUGAAAGUUGAGAUCCCUGUCGUGGGGAGCAUCGACGCCCGGACCAGACCUUUUGUGACGGUUCCGCGGUAGAGCAUGUAUGUUGGGACCCGAAAGAUGGUGAACUAUGCCUGAAUAGGGUGAAGCCAGAGGAAACUCUGGUGGAGGCUCGUAGCGAUUCUGACGUGCAAAUCGAUCGUCAAAUUUGGGUAUAGGGGCGAAAGACUAAUCGAACCAUCUAGUAGCUGGUUCCUGCCGAA
Molecule: ribosomal RNA, 983 nt
Filed under: Aureonarius caryotis
Lineage: Eukaryota; Fungi; Basidiomycota; Agaricomycetes; Agaricales; Cortinariaceae
Description: eukaryotic LSU rRNA
Rfam family: Eukaryotic large subunit ribosomal RNA
Source: RNAcentral